This is a long non-coding RNA of Mus musculus (house mouse), 362 nucleotides long. RefSeq annotates it as predicted gene, 33720. The transcript is spliced from 3 exons. Lineage: Eukaryota; Metazoa; Chordata; Mammalia; Rodentia; Muridae. The record is from RefSeq and is a predicted model, not a curated record.
AGAAGGCGCCCUGCGUUAUGGAUUUCAUCAGAUUCCUGGUACAUUGGCCACUGUGCCAGCCCCUCCUGAAAUCCACAGAACCCCAUAGCUAAGGUCUGGGAAGACAGAGGUGGUGUGCUAAGAGAGUAGGAACUGAAGUCCCAAGAGGGCAACUGCUAUAUGGAACUGCCCAGCCUGUCUGCUGAAGAGCCUGGCCCAAGUCCAGAACCCAGGCACCAAACCCAGGAGGAUGCUGGGACAUCAGAGGACGUCUGGAGCUCCUUCCCUCAUAAUUGGAACUGCCCAGAAGCCAUAUGGGAAGAGCUUCGGGGAAAUUAUGACACCAUUUCACAGACAGACACACUGAGGCCCAGGGGCAUGGG